RNAcentral lists this ribosomal RNA (685 nucleotides) under uncultured Candidatus Saccharibacteria bacterium. RNAcentral describes it as "bacterial SSU rRNA". It matches the Rfam family "Bacterial small subunit ribosomal RNA", at positions 766 to 1479 of the family's 1533-position model. The record is from RNAcentral. Lineage: Bacteria; Candidatus Saccharimonadota.
GAGCGAACCGAAUUAGAUACCCCGGGUAGUCCACGCCGUAAACGAUGGAUACUAGCUGUUGGAGGUAUCGACCCCUUCAGUAGCGAAGCUAACGCGUUAAGUAUCCCGCCUGUGGAGUACGGCCGCAAGGCUAAAACAUAAAGGAAUUGACGGGGACCCGCACAAGCGGUGGAUUAUGUUCUUUAAUUCGAUGAUAACCGAAGAACCUUACCAGGGCUUGACAUCCAGGGAAGGUCUGCGAAAGUAGACUGUGCCUUUUGGAACCCUGUGACAGGUGAUGCAUGGCCGUCGUCAGCUCGUGUCGUGAGAUGUUGGGUUAAGUCCUUCAACGAGCGCAACCCUUGUGAAUAGUUGUAUUUUUCUAUUCAGACUGCCCCGGUAACGGGGAGGAAGGAGGGGAUGAUGUCAGGUCAGUAUUUCCCUUACGUCCUGGGCUAGAAACGUAAUACAAUGGCUAGUACAAUGCGCAGCGAAGCCGCGAGGUGAAGCAAAUCGCAUCAAAGCUAGUCCCAGUUCGGAUUGUAGGCUGAAACUCGCCUGCAUGAAGUCGGAAUCGCUAGUAAUCGCAAAUCAGCAAGUUGCGGUGAAUACGUUCCCGGGUCUUGUACACACCGCCCGUCAAACCAUGAAAGUGACCAACACCCGAAGUCCGAUUCGUCGGCCUAAGGUGGGGGGCAUGAUUGGG